UGGGCUGCCUGCAAUCCCGAGUGGUAGGAGAGGAUAUGGGAUGCACCUCGUUGCUGGAUGCACCCGAAAGGCAGGGUGCACGUAGAGCGCCCUGCUCAGGGAGCUCCUGGAGUCGGACGCAUGCGUUUGCAUGACGCCCCUGUAACCUUGCAGUGGGAGAUGUUAAUUGCACGUUUUGGGCAGCUCUUUCCAUGCCCGAGGACCCCCUUUUGUGUUGCCCCCCGCAGCUCGGGGUGGGUAGGCUCCAGGUGAGCCACCAACCGCUUCCGUGCUAGCUCUCAGCCUGCGUUUCCCCCGGCUCGAGAAGGUCGCAGUGCCAGGCAGUCCCUGCUCUGUGUACCCAUCUCCUGCCUGCUCCCUCAGCUCGGUGCUUGUGUUUGUCGCCUGCUGGGAAGUCUGGGGUGUCCCGAAUCACAGGACUUCCUUUCCUGAGUGUUCUUGUUCUUGUUCCCCUCUCGCAUAAUGCCACCCUCUAGGUCCCUCCGUGGCCUCCCACCACAGGGUGCGGGAUUCCUGCUUUCUCUUUGCCGCGUACUUUUCCUUCACAUUUCAGCCUUUCGUUUCAGUCUGUCUCUCACCCUUCACGACUAAAACGUGUAGAUUGAAGGAAGGAGACACAGGCUAGGGGACCCCGCAGCUGGCCGUCCGCGGGAACCCUCUGCAGGCUCCGGUGUCUUUCUCACAUCAGUGUGGAGUUUGCUUGGGUUCUGUCCUUUCUGCGACUUUGCGAAGGUUGAUUUGAAGAAGAUCGAACAAGCAGUGGAGCCGAGGAGGGGGGAGAAGACAGAUAAAAUUAAGGUGAAGAGAUUUAUUGGGUCUACUUGGGUCAAAGGCCCAAUUCCAUUGUACAUGAUGGAACCCCUGGCAUUCCAGCCCUGGCCCUUGGCAUUGUUUACAGAUGUUCAGACUUGAUCAUCAAGUCUUUUCAGCCAGGAGCUAUGUGUUUGCAGGGUCCUUCUUGCCUGGGAGGUGCAGGGACACAGAGUACCUUUAGUAAUGGGUAUUCCAUGCCUGUAUGUGUGAAUGUCCCGAGAACAGCGGUGGUGUGGCCUAAAGAAUUGGUGUGGCUUCGCAUUGGAAUACCCAUACGAAAGUGUAAGAAGCAUCACUGGGCACAGCCGAGAUCUGGGAUGAAAACAGAAGGUGCUCUAAGACACACAGAGAACAUGGUCAUGUGAAGACAGAGGCAGAAAUUAGAGUGGCCCCAAGCCAAGAGCUGCCAGGAGUUGCCAGACGCUGGGGAAGGCGGGAAGGCUCCUCCUUUCUAGCCGUCCCAGGGAACACAGCUCUGCCGCUAUCUUAUUUCCUCCAGACCUGUAGCAGCAUUUCCAGGAAAGGUCACAGAGUCCAAGGUGUUGGAGUGUGAAAAUACGGGCUGAGCUCAGCUCCCCGGUGUGAAAUGCAAGCCUCGGGAAAUUCAAACGUAUGCGUCAAUUGCAGCCCAGGUUUCUUUUUAUUAAUGGUCACUAAUGGUCUGCAAUCAAGACACACCUGUGAGAGGCAAAAUACCAAUCGGCUUGUUUGUGUGACGUGAGUAGACUUUAUCAGCCUGCUGAUUAUUCUUCCUCUCUCCAGGUAUCAGGCAAGGGACAUUUGUGCAGAGAGAGGGGAAGUGGCCACUUAUCCCGUCUAAGGAGGCAGUGUGGUGUUGUCGCCAGGUUAGAGGCACACAGUCGAGGCUAUAAAAACCUGACGCUGUCACUAGCCAGCUGUAUUUGUCCAUUUUCUGUUCUUUGAAUGGAAUACCUACAGCUGGGUAACUUGAACAGAAAUGAAGCUUGUCAGCCCUCUGUCUAGGAGGCCACCAGGGCAAGCAGCAUGGUACUCGGGUGGGCGCCAAGGCCACAUCAGCCCGGGACAGACAAUGCUGUGAUGGUAGACACCUGUGGGAAGAAUGUAAAUCUCACCGGUUGAUUCUAAGGACAGUGCCAAUGACCCAAGGCCCUACCACUAGACCCGCUGCUUCAAAUGCUUUCUCGCUCUCUCUCCACUGGGAUCAAAGACAUCUACUUCUGUGCUUGGCCUUCGUCAUCUUUUAACACUGGUGACCAUCGAACCUUGGAAUAGUGAACCACACCAAGCCCUUACCAGAACCUCAGGUCAACCCCGUUUCUUCCCUGGGAGGCUCUACUAAUCAUACUGUCUUUCUGGGAUGAUCAUGAAGAUACCUGUCCUCCUUUUCAAGGAAACCUGGUGUUGGCCUGGACGGUGGACUCCUGGGAGUCCUGCUGCAGUCUAGUCUUUCUUCCAGGGCCUUGACCUUCUGCCCUUGUCCUGGUUGGUGUUUUGUCAACUUGACACAAGCUAGAGUCAUUUUGGAAGAGACAACAACAGCUGGGGAAAUGCUCCCAUCAGGCUGGCCUG
Long non-coding RNA from Peromyscus californicus insignis, 2364 nucleotides. RefSeq lists it as uncharacterized. Lineage: Eukaryota; Metazoa; Chordata; Mammalia; Rodentia; Cricetidae. The transcript is spliced from 6 exons. The record is from RefSeq and is a predicted model, not a curated record.